RNAcentral lists this ribosomal RNA (110 nucleotides) under Aerococcus urinae. RNAcentral describes it as "partial 16S ribosomal RNA". It matches the Rfam family "Bacterial small subunit ribosomal RNA", at positions 1430 to 1533 of the family's 1533-position model. The record is from RNAcentral. Lineage: Bacteria; Bacillati; Bacillota; Bacilli; Lactobacillales; Aerococcaceae.
GUGAGGUAACCUUUGGAGCCAGCCGCCGAAGGUGGGACAGAUGAUUGGGGUGAAGUCGUAACAAGGUAGCCGUAGGUGAACCUGCGGCUGGAUCACCUCCUUUCUAAGGA